AAGUUUCAACAACGGAUCUCUUGGCUCUCGCAUCGAUGAAGAACGCAGCGAAAUGCAAUAAGUAAUGUGAAUUGCAGAAUUCAGUGAAUCAUCGAAUCUUUGAACGCACCUUGCGCUCCUUGGUAUUCCUUGGAGCAUGCCUGUUUGAGUAUCAU
Molecule: ribosomal RNA, 155 nt
Filed under: Thanatephorus cucumeris
Lineage: Eukaryota; Fungi; Basidiomycota; Agaricomycetes; Cantharellales; Ceratobasidiaceae
Description: 5.8S ribosomal RNA
Rfam family: 5.8S ribosomal RNA
About the family: 5.8S ribosomal RNA (5.8S rRNA) is a component of the large subunit of the eukaryotic ribosome. It is transcribed by RNA polymerase I as part of the 45S precursor that also contains 18S and 28S rRNA.
Source: RNAcentral